RNAcentral lists this ribosomal RNA (844 nucleotides) under uncultured Bacillota bacterium. Its description in RNAcentral is "bacterial SSU rRNA". It matches the Rfam family "Bacterial small subunit ribosomal RNA", at positions 75 to 896 of the family's 1533-position model. The record is from RNAcentral. Lineage: Bacteria; Bacillati; Bacillota.
GGGGGCAACUCCUUCCAGUCGAGUGGCGGACGGGUGAGUAACACGUGGGUAACCUGCCCGGAAGUGUGGAAUACCUCGGGGAAACUCGAGCUAAUACCGCAUGACAUCGCAGGGACGGAAGUCCUGGCGAUCAAAGCGGGGUCGCAAGAUCUCGCGCUACCGGAUGGGCCCGCGCCCGAUUAGCUAGUUGGUGAGGUAACGGCUCACCAAGGCUUCGAUCGGUAACCGGCCUGAGAGGGCGAUCGGUCACACCGGAACUGAGACACGGUCCGGACUCCUACGGGAGGCAGCAGUGGGGAAUCUUGCGCAAUGGGCGAAAGCCUGACGCAGCAACGCCGCGUGGAGGAUGAAGGCCCUUGGGUUGUAAACUCCUGUCGGCUGGGAAGAAAUCGUUCGCGGCUAAUACCCGCGAGCGUUGACUGUACCAGCAAAGGAAGCCCCGGCUAACUCUGUGCCAGCAGCCGCGGUAAUACAGAGGGGGCUAGCGUUAUUCGGAAUUAUUGGGCGUAAAGGGCGCGUAGGCGGCCUUGCGUGUCUUCCGUGAAAUCCCUCGGCUCAACUGAGGACGUGCGGAAGAAACUGCGAGGCUCGAGUCCGGGAGAGGAGGGUGGAAUUCCCAGUGUAGCGGUGAAAUGCGUAGAUAUUGGGAGGAACACCGGUGGCGAAGGCGGCCCUCUGGACCGGUACUGACGCUGAUGCGCGAAAGCGUGGGGAGCAAACGGGAUUAGAUACCCCGGUAGUCCACGCCGUAAACGAUGGGCACUUGGUGUCGCGGGUAUCGACCCCUGCGGUGCCGAAGCUAACGCAUUAAGUGCCCCGCCUGGGGAGUACGGUCGCAAGGCUG